This 402-nucleotide unclassified non-coding RNA is filed under the name soil metagenome. Its description in RNAcentral is "partial contains 5.8S ribosomal RNA, internal transcribed spacer 2, and large subunit ribosomal RNA". The stretch from base 1 to 121 matches the Rfam family "5.8S ribosomal RNA", at positions 35 to 154 of the family's 154-position model. The record is from RNAcentral.
GAUGAAGAACGUAGCGAAAUGCGAUAAGUAACGUGAAUUGCAGAAUUCAGUGAAUCAUCGAAUCUUUGAACGCACCUUGCACCCUUUGGCUAUUCCGAAGGGUAUGCCUGUUUGAGUAUCAUGAACACCUCAACUCUCAUGGUUUGCCAUGAUGAGCUUGGACUUUGGGGGUCUUGCUGGCCUGUGGUCAGCUCCUCUCAAAUGGAUUAGCUUGCCAGUGUUUGGUGGCAUCACAGGUGUGAUAACUAUCUACGCUUGUGGUUUUCCACCAGGUAACCUUCAGCAAUGGGGGUUCGCUGGGGCUCAUAAAUGUCUCUCCUCAGUGAGGACAGCUCUUUGAACGUUUGAUCUCAAAUCAGGUAGGACUACCCGCUGAACUUAAGCAUAUCAAUAAGCGGAGGA